RNAcentral lists this ribosomal RNA (253 nucleotides) under uncultured bacterium. RNAcentral describes it as "partial 16S ribosomal RNA". It matches the Rfam family "Bacterial small subunit ribosomal RNA", at positions 524 to 776 of the family's 1533-position model. The record is from RNAcentral.
UACGUAGGAUGCAAGCGUUGUCCGGAAUUAUUGGGCGUAAAGAGCGCGCAGGCGGUCUAUCAAGUCAGAUGUGAAAUAUCCGGGCUUAACCCGGAGGGGUCAUUUGAAACUGGUAGACUAGAGUACAGCAGAGGAUAGCGGAAUUCCCGGUGUAGUGGUGAAAUGCGUAGAUAUCGGGAGGAACACCAGUGGCGAAGGCGGCCGACUGGGCCGUCCCUGACGCUGAGGCGCGAAAGCGUGGGGAGCGAACCGG